This 406-nucleotide ribosomal RNA is filed under the name uncultured bacterium. RNAcentral describes it as "partial 16S ribosomal RNA". It matches the Rfam family "Bacterial small subunit ribosomal RNA", at positions 30 to 526 of the family's 1533-position model. The record is from RNAcentral.
AUUGAACGCUGGCGGCAGGCCUAACACAUGCAAGUCGAACGAGUGGCGGACGGGUGAGUAAUGUCUGGGAAACUGCCUGAUGGAGGGGGACAACUACUGGAAACGGUAGCUAAUACCGCAUACCAUCAGAUGUGACCAGAUGGGAUGUGCUGGUUGGUGGGGUAACGGCUCACCAAGGCGACGCUCCCUAGGUGGUCUGAGACGAUGACCCGUCACUCGUGUACUGGGACGCGGUCCAGACUCCGACGGGAGGCAGCAGCCAGGAAUAUUGCGCAAUGGGCGCAAGCCAAUAGCAGCCAUGCCGCGUGUAUGAAGAAGGCCUUCGGGUUGUAAAGGACUUCCAGCGGGGAAGCGGUACCCGCAGAAGAAGCACCGGCUAACUCCGUGCCAGCAGCCGCGGUAAUUC